UACGAAGGGGGCUAGCGUUGCUCGGAAUUACUGGGCGUAAAGCGCACGUAGGCGGCUCUUUAAGUCGGAGGUGAAAUCCUGGAGCUCAACUCCAGAACUGCCUUCGAUACUGAAGAGCUCGAGUCCGGGAGAGGUGAGUGGAACUGCGAGUGUAGAGGUGAAAUUCGUAGAUAUUCGCAAGAACACCAGUGGCGAAGGCGGCUCACUGGCCCGGUACUGACGCUGAGG
RNAcentral lists this ribosomal RNA (228 nucleotides) under uncultured bacterium. RNAcentral describes it as "partial 16S ribosomal RNA". It matches the Rfam family "Bacterial small subunit ribosomal RNA", at positions 524 to 751 of the family's 1533-position model. The record is from RNAcentral.